CGCAAGCCUGACGGAGCAAGACCGCGUGCGGGAUGACGGCCUAAUGGUUGUAAACCGCUUUUCUCUGGGAAGAUGAUGACGGUACCAGAGGAAUCAGCCUCGGCUAACUCCGUGCCAGCAGCCGCGGUAAUACGGAGGAGGCAAGCGUUAUCCGGAAUUAUUGGGCGUAAAGCGUCCGUAGGUGGUUAUUCAAGUCUGCUGUCAAAGCGUGGGGCUUAACUCCAUAGAGGCAGUGGAAACUGGAUGACUUGAGUGCGGUAGGGGUCGAGGGAAUUCCCAGUGUAGCGGUGAAAUGCGUAGAUAUUGGGAAGAACACCAGUGGCGAAAGCGCUCGACUGGGCCUACACUGACACUGAGGGACGAAAGCUAGGGGAGCG
Molecule: ribosomal RNA, 377 nt
Filed under: uncultured cyanobacterium
Lineage: Bacteria; Bacillati; Cyanobacteriota
Description: bacterial SSU rRNA
Rfam family: Bacterial small subunit ribosomal RNA
Source: RNAcentral